UUGACUAAGGCAUGUUUUAUUUGAUGUUGGAUAAAAAAAUUGUCAUCUUGAAAAGAAUUUAUACUAUGCACAUGUUUGCCUACAUUCUGUGUGAGAAAGGUGGUUUGGACUUUCUAUCGGGUUUGCCUACAUCUAUGUUUGACAGUUAUCUUUCAGAUAGAUGUUGGAUUCAGACUCACUCAUUUUUA
This is a long non-coding RNA of Lathyrus oleraceus (garden pea), 188 nucleotides long. RefSeq lists it as uncharacterized. The transcript has 2 exons. The record is from RefSeq and is a predicted model, not a curated record. Lineage: Eukaryota; Viridiplantae; Streptophyta; Magnoliopsida; Fabales; Fabaceae.